This 484-nucleotide unclassified non-coding RNA is filed under the name Hevea brasiliensis (rubber tree). The record is from RNAcentral. Lineage: Eukaryota; Viridiplantae; Streptophyta; Magnoliopsida; Malpighiales; Euphorbiaceae.
CAUGCCAAGCUUUUAUCAGGAACCCCCUCCUCCCCAGGUGGAGUUGAAGAAGAUACCAACAACAAGAGCUAAAUCCCCCAAGCUUGGCCGGAGAAAGAGCUCCCCCACCAAAGAGGCAGACCAUACUUCCAUGCACACAAGUAGGUUGAGCUUGGAUAAAAAUGUAUCUCAAAAUCCUGCUAAAGGACAUCCUCCAGAAAAUGUCAAGAAGCCUACACGGAGAUCUCUUCCAAAGCUGCCAUCUCAAAAAAUCAACUUAUUAAGUAAUACAAAAAAGCCUUCCCCCAUCAAAACGAGCAUAUCCCAGGAAACAAAUGAAGCUGCAUCUAACAACAUGAGUGCAGUUGCUUCUCAACCAAACAACGUAUCUGAGCAAACAAAUGAAAUCGUAACAUUUGUUCAAAAGCAUGACGCUACAUCUGUCGUUGAAACAAGCCAGAGUAAGACUUUUGUUGAAGCUCAAUCCGAGACUAAUGUGGUGCAG